Molecule: ribosomal RNA, 290 nt
Filed under: uncultured bacterium
Lineage: Bacteria
Description: partial 16S ribosomal RNA
Rfam family: Bacterial small subunit ribosomal RNA
Source: RNAcentral
GGUCCCUACGGGGGGCAGCAGUGGGGAAUAUUGCACAAUGGGGGGAACCCUGAUGCAGCGACGCCGCGUGAAGGAAGAAGUAUUUCGGUAUGUAAACUUCUAUCAGCAGGGAGGAAAAUGACGGUACCUGACUAAGAAGCCCCGGCUAACUACGUGCCAGCAGCCGCGGUAAUACGUAGGGGGCAAGCGUUAUCCGGAUUUACUGGGUGUAAAGGGAGCGUAGGCGGCAGUGCAAGUCAGAAGUGAAAGCCCAAGGCUCAACCAUGGGACUGCUUUUGAAACUGUACAGC